Non-coding RNA from Caenorhabditis elegans, 117 nucleotides. The record is from Ensembl. Lineage: Eukaryota; Metazoa; Nematoda; Chromadorea; Rhabditida; Rhabditidae.
GCGGAAAUCUGAAAGAAUGUAGGCGGUGUCAUUUUUGAUUUCAGCAUCUCCCGAAUUUGUCAUCUCUCGAUUCGAGCCAAUUUUGGGCAUGCCAAAUCGAGGGUAUUUUUCGCGGGA